This is a long non-coding RNA of Haliotis rubra (blacklip abalone), 3095 nucleotides long. RefSeq lists it as uncharacterized. The transcript is spliced from 2 exons. The record is from RefSeq and is a predicted model, not a curated record. NCBI's taxonomy places the organism in Eukaryota, Metazoa, Mollusca, Gastropoda, Lepetellida, Haliotidae.
UCCAUGGGUCCAACAUGGUCUGAGGUAUUUUUUGUUUUCAUCUCUCAAAGUUUUAUCUGUAGUCAUGGUAGAGAUGUGAAAUUUAAAAAAAAUCAUUUUAACAGAAUAUGUGACUAUGCUUAGUUACAAUCUACCCAGAUCCAAGAUAAACUGUAGAUAGACUGAACAUUUCCAGCAUCAUUUUCUGAGUUAGUCAACCUUAUAUUGGUACAUUCAUCCUGUUCGAAGUGUAAGAAAUUGUUGCAAGAGGUUUAGAUCUUAGAAACAGCCUUUGUCGUGUACAUGAUUCAGCACAAACUAAACACUGUUCAUCUGUAACGGAUCAACAUGGAGAUGCAGCGAUAUAGGAAUGAGACUUUGUGUUUCAUUGUACCAGGAAUUUAUUUGUUUCCAUUUUGAUGUAGCUUCAUAUAUCUGAGCAUAUUAGUAGUAGUGGACUUCGUCUUCCAACAUUGUCACUAUUUCAGGAUUAAUGUCUCGGAACUUAUGUCUGGGAACAUGCUGUUAAUCCCUGCAGUCAUCGUGUGUGGGCAUUGCUUGUGGUUAGGCUAUCACGAUGUACAUACUUUCAGUGGUGAUACUUAAAACAUGUGCUUUGUAUCAUGAUACAAAUUUUAUGUUUUUGUAUGCAAUCCUCCUGACAAGAUUGUUGCAAUCAACAGCUUUUUUGUUUAUAUGCAUAUUGGGAAAAUUUGGGCUUUUAGACAGUAUUAUGCAAAUAAAUUAGCUUUUCGUUUCCUGACAAGUGUAAAGGUGAUGCUAGCUGAUUAUUGCAAAACUUUGUGUGUAUUACUUUUGGAAAUUGAUGCAGAACUAAGUCAUGAAUCAGUACAUGGAUAGGUGUAUUAUGUAUCAAAGUGUCAGGUGUUAAUUUGCAGUCAGGAUGUAUCUUGUUGUGGCAUGUAUGUUUACCCAUGUUUACAGUUAUUUCACGAACACUCACCUUACAAUUGAUCGGAAUCUCAAUUGCAAAGUUAUAGUUUUGUUGAGUUAUAAUUUUCAGUAAUAAUUGUUAUUAAACAGAUGGUGGCUUUCAAAACACCAACUUAAAUGUUGGCCUCAUCCAUUUAAGACUAUAUGUUGUAGUAUUCAUAAACUUCUUAAGUGGUGUUUGAUCAAGAUGAAUUGUUACCAUGGUAACUGUAAGUAUUGUAGCUGUGGACUGUUUAAUGAAUGCUUGACUGACUUGCCACUAGAGUGUUCAUGUGAGUGGUGGAUGUACACGUACAGGGCCCACUUGCACAAAGCGAUCUUAGCUCUACAAUGACCGUAACUCCCAUACUCUAACACAUUCUAAAGAUGGUCUUAGAGCUAAGAACACUUUGUGCAAGUGGCCUGAGGGCCACAUCCCACAGAGCAAUUGAAGCACUAGGGUAUCGUAAGCCUGUGUUAAAGUAUGUUAGUUACGAUCACCUUAGUGAUAAGAUCACUUGUGCAAGUGGCCUGAGGGUCACAUCACACAGAGCAGUUGAAGCACUAGGGUAUCGUAAGCCUGUGUUAAAGUAUAUUAGUUACGAUCACCUUAGUGAUCAGAUCACUUGUGCAAGUGGCCUGAGGGUCACAUCACACAGAGCAAUUGAAGCACUAGGGUAUCAUAAGCCUGUGUUGAAGUAUGUUAGUUACGAUCACAUUAGUGAUAAGAUCAUUUGUGCAAGUGGCCUGAGGGCCACUUCCGAAAAGCAAUUGAAGCACUAGGGUAUCGUAAGCCUGUGUUAAAGUAUAUUAGUUACGAUCACCUUAGUGAUAAGAUCACUUGUGCAAGUGGCCUGAGGGUCACAUCACACAGAGCAAUUAAAGCACUAGGGUAUCGUAAGCCUGUGUUAAGUAUGUUAGUUACGAUCACCUUAGUGAUAAGAUCACUUGUGCAAGUGGCCUGAGGGUCACAUCACACAGAGCAAUUGAAGCACUAGGGUAUCGUAAGCCUGUGUUAAAGUAUAUUAGUUACGAUCACCUUAGUGAUAAGAUCACUUUAUGGAGCAUGGCCCAGAGGAGCGCUUUACGCACAGGGCAUCUUGCAGCUGUUGAACAAGAGAACAUCUCAAAUGUUUCAUUCAGACAUUGAAGUGUGUACUUAACCUAUUCUUUGUUCUGACCAAAUUGAUCUGGUCUAUUAUUUUCAAAGUUUCAUGUAAGUUUAUUGAGAUAUUUUCCUCACAUAUGGUUACACCGUCACAUCUGAACAAUGUUAUUUUACAUUUUAGUUUAUGUUUUCAUUCCUGUAUUGUUUUCCCAUUGCUUUCAUAAUUAAACUUUAUGAACUACUUUUGACAUAUUUUUAGACUGCUUUCAUUUGGUAGAAGCAGGGGGUUGUUACACUUUGACAUAUUUACUGUGUUUUGUGUUUGAUUCGUUUAACAACUAGCACAGAAUAUCUUUUUCAACAAAAUAAGUGAAAUGGUUGUGAAAUAUUUCCGUUUCCUGUGACAUACAUGUAAGAGUAAUGCAACACAAAUUAUACAACUGUUCAAAGUGAACCUACCCUCAGUUACGGAUAUUGAACUGAGCAUCCUAAAUUAUCCACUGUUUUUAUCUGAUCUAUUAUGUUGAAUAUUUAAGCCCCGUUCUCCAUAGAUUUGUUCAGGAAAUGAUAUCACUGUCCUUUCUUAUCUUCUCUUUCUGAUCAUAUUCAAAGCAACGACCAAUCAGAACAUCUUUUCAUGCAAGAUCUACAGUCAAAAUCUCUGUUGUGCAAUGCUCUAGUCUAUUUGUAUGAAUCCAGAGGCUGUCUUGAAAGAGUUUUUAGAUGGAGAAGAUAUUUUUAUUCGUAUUAAAACAAGAAGGAAGUCCAUAGACGUUUGAGAAGAAAUUGUGAGGACAGGCAACGUGAGUACUUGUGAUAUCAUUGCUGUGGUAUCAACAUUGGAAUUUCAUAGGAUAUCUGUUUUCACCAUCACGUCACUGGAAGCAGACUCCAGACAAAGGUAUUCAAAUAUCAAGGGUGUUUAUCAUAAUGGGCUGGAUCUGUAAUAUGGUACAUGAAUGAAGAUGUGAAUUAUGGUGCUAUGGUAGAAGGUUCAGUAGAAGCAGCCUAAUGAGACAACCUUUGGCAGCAUACUGUCGAGGUAAACGCACAUAUUACAGGUAUCUCCUGGACC